CAUUACCUGGGCUGGUGAAUCAUCCAUUCUCCCCCACAAGACAAUUCAUUCCAGCCCUGAGAAUCUUUAUGAGAAAGUUCCUCAUCGUAUUUAGGAAAAUUCUAUGCCUCUGUAAUUUUCACAGACUGAUCCAAAUUUCCGUACUCAGAGCACUACAGAGUAAAUGAUUUCCACCCUCCACUUGAUGGUUCCUCAGGAACACAUGAUUCCUGGGCAGUGUUUAUAAUAUCAGCAAUUUAUUGAGAGGCUGUCAUGGUCAGCUUCUCAACAUGUGUUAUCUUUAUCCUUGCAACAUCUAAAUGAGCUUCUCCAAGAACACGGAGUCUGCUGAUGAGAAGGCAACUGGGAGCCAACAGAACCAGCCUGCUCGGGACCCGGCACCUCCUUUUCCCACCCAUGUGACUGGUUUCCUGUACAUCCAUUCACCGUCCAUUCAGCCAGUCAGUCAGCCAUCAUUAAUUCAUUCCAAACCCUUUGAGUGCCCACCAUGUACCAUCCCUGCACCAGGCUGGGAGGAUAAAAGACAAAUAGCAGCUAACUCCUGACUCUCAGGAGCUCACAGUCCACACAGUUAUGGCUGCCAAGCAGGGGCUCAAUGCAAAUAUAUUGAAU
Long non-coding RNA from Bos taurus (domestic cattle), 612 nucleotides. Lineage: Eukaryota; Metazoa; Chordata; Mammalia; Artiodactyla; Bovidae. The record is from Ensembl.